GUGGUCAUCCUCCCUCACGUCGGCUACCUCCAUUGCUCAUCUCCUCGAAUGCGGGCGACAGAAUUAACGCAACGCAACUGCUCAGCUCCACUCCCUCACGCUCCCUCCCCACGACCUCCACUUCGCCCCAUUCAUCGCACAACCGAGGAUGAUAAAUGGUGACCAUGCGACCUCCACUUCGCCCCGUUCACUUCGCUCCCUACCUCUGUGUUCGAGUUCGCGUGGACGCCGGAGCCACCCGAAGAGAGAGGAGGAAGCAGCGCGCGGACGCCAGAUCCGAAGGACGGCUCGCCGCUAGGACGUUCCUUUUCUGCCUCUAUGUUAGAGCGCACGCGGACACCGGAGCCGGAAGACGCAUCGCCGCCAGGACGCGCGGGAUAGCGAGGUCCACGAGGUUCCACUACACGCCGCUAGGUCCGGUGAAGAGCAGGUAUCCCUGGAGGAGGACUACUACGACGAGCCCGAUGAGAUAUAGACGUCGUCUUCCAGUUAACUGUUGGUGCCAAGGAUAUGGUUAUAUUAUUUCGGUUUAGUUAUUAUCAGCUAUUAUUUUGGUUUA
Molecule: long non-coding RNA, 559 nt
Organism: Zea mays
Lineage: Eukaryota; Viridiplantae; Streptophyta; Magnoliopsida; Poales; Poaceae
Exons: 2
Source: RefSeq, a predicted model, not a curated record